This 253-nucleotide unclassified non-coding RNA is filed under the name uncultured Rhodobacterales bacterium. Its description in RNAcentral is "contains 16S-23S intergenic spacer region". It matches the Rfam family "Bacterial small subunit ribosomal RNA", at positions 524 to 776 of the family's 1533-position model. Lineage: Bacteria; Pseudomonadati; Pseudomonadota; Alphaproteobacteria; Rhodobacterales. The record is from RNAcentral.
UACGAAGGGGGCUAGCGUUGUUCGGAAUUACUGGGCGUAAAGCGCACGUAGGCGGAUUGUUAAGUCGAGGGUGAAAUCCCGGGGCUCAACCUCGGAAGGGCCUUCGAUACUGAUGAUCUGGAGUUUGAGAGAGGUGAGUGGAAUUCCGAGUGUAGAGGUGAAAUUCGUAGAGAUUCGGAGGAACACCAGUGGCGAAGGCGGCUCACUGGCUCAAAACUGACGCUGAGGUGCGAAAGUGUGGUUAGUCAACGGG